Molecule: non-coding RNA, 215 nt
Organism: Pelobates cultripes (western spadefoot toad)
Lineage: Eukaryota; Metazoa; Chordata; Amphibia; Anura; Pelobatidae
Source: the annotation of a GenBank genome assembly
CACCAUCCUGUUUAUGCACAGUUUGUGUACAUCGGUCUUCUGUAAGGGAUCUUUCCCAUUUUUGCAUGGAGAGUACACGUGCUGCCACAGACAACUCUCUGUAAUGAAAGCGUUCUGAGGAUGGUAUAAUGCAAAGUGUUUUGGGUGUUUACACUGUACUUUUAACGAUAAGAAUAUAAGAACUUCAAUAUUUAACUAGUUAACUAAUUUACUCU